Molecule: long non-coding RNA, 2007 nt
Organism: Gopherus agassizii (Agassiz's desert tortoise)
Lineage: Eukaryota; Metazoa; Chordata; Testudines; Testudinidae
Source: Ensembl
AGAGCCUCUUGCACCUGGGGAUUUAGGCUGAUGAGGUGAGGGCUGGUAGAGCCCCUGAAAUUCACUCUCUGCUGCUCCAACAGCUCAAGGGCUUGUUCAGACAGAGGCAGCAGCUGCAGUCAGGGCACAGGAAGCUGCCAAGAGACCAGAAGGACGAGUGCUCAGUGGAGCAAUGGGUGAAGAACUCUCAAGUGAAUGCAAGAGGAGCCAUCAAGCCACACGGGAAACCUCCACAGGAGCUAAAAGAAAAGCAGCAGCCUGUGCCAGGAGAUCUGGGCUUCUCCACCAGCACCGAAGAAGCGCAGAGCCUCAGGCUACAACUGCAAGAGAAAACGGAAAUGAUUUCUGCCAUGGCCUCUGAGAUCCAGGGACUGCAGCAAAAGAACGAACACCUGAUGAAAGCGAAACUGCGGUUUCAGCAGCAAAUCCAGGACAUCCGCAGCCUCCAGCAGCAGCGACAGGAAAGGAGCGACUCAGACCUGCUGGUUCCUAGGCUCUCCAGCCAGCAAGAGCUGGAGUUGGGGCUGAGCCAGCGGAGCGAUGGCUCUGGACCUCUGACUGGCGGUGAUCCCCAUGCUUCCUCCUUCUGCCCCCCACACAGCAGAGCUGCUCUGUACCUAGCCAAGCAGGUGGUGCUGCCCGAGGCAGGAGACGAGCUGCGUUGCUUCAGUUCUGAAAGCAGUGGCAGCCAGUCCCACAGGUCCCAGGCAGGGUCAGAACUGCCAGCGCCGCCGCUGAGCAAGCUCCCUGCUGAUUCUGUGACUGGGAAGCUGCCUCCCCCUUCCACACUGCCCCUCCCAGCCUCCACCCCAGCAUCUGGCAAAUCCUCCCCCGAGGCGCGCUCCUCCCCAGUGAGCCCCCGGAGUCAGCCUGGAAGCCAGGAGUCCUCAUAUACUCCCAAGGGGGCAGUGCUGCUCUCGCCGAGACCCUUCCGGGCACAACGACUGGGCUCUCCCUUUAAAUUCAGAGUGAGCCCGGAGCCCCCAGGGGAGAGCUGUGGCAGCUGAAGCACCCUGUCCGUUGAGGUCAGACUAGAUGAUCACAACGGGCCUCUUCUGGCCUUGGAAUCUAUGAAUCCUGCAUGGCUGGGUACAUGUGGCUUUGAAUGAUCUGCUCUGUGCCCUCUCCUUGUCCUCUGAGCUGUUCGCCGUAGAGUCUGGCUGGUAAAUGAAUGAACAUAGCAUGUUCUCUUGGAACUGGCUGUUUCCCCCUGGCAGUGGGGAAAGGUGGUCUCCUGACCCCUUGGGUUGGAAUUCAGAUUAGGGGCAUUACAGGGGAGAGGCUGUUCUUGCACUAGCUGGGCAACUAAGUCCAACAGUCCUCGAUGCCUCGCCCCGCGCACCUGGGCCUCCUGGAGUUGGGAGCCACCAGUGUGGUCUGUGAGCAGCAAAUGGUUUGAUGUAUGCUACAGGUUCUUCCCCUGCCCUCCUUACCCGAGCAUCUGAGCACCUGCCGCUCAUGCAUUAAGGGAUUUGACUCACUUUUGCCACACAUAGUUCUUGCUUUCGCUCAUCUUCUCCUCAGGGGGAGAACUGUGCAGUAAAGUGUUGGGAAACAUACCCCCUGCUCUGUGUUUAUAUGGGGAAGGGAUGGUCAGAGGGGUGCGCCUGGCACCUAGACCACGAGGUAGGGAGGAUUGUGAUGGUCCUUGGGUUCAUCCCACAGUCUGAGGCUGGCCCCCAAGAGAGCUCUGCCUCCUGCAUAGCUGAGCCAAGCUUUACCCUGAAGUUAGGAAGUGCCUUGGUGCCAGAGGAGCAGAGCCCAGCCAGGCCCCAGCCCAGAGCUUUAGGUGAUCUUCUACAUAGGCUUCUUCUGUUCCCCCUGAGAUAGAGAGCUGCUUCUCCUUCCCUGGAAGCUCAACCUCCUGAGGGAGAGAAGGCCUUAGAUAGAGUACCUCAAGCUACACCAGCUGCACUGCUCAGCUGCUGCACUGAGGAACAGGCAGCAGAGCAGGCCCUCGUAGCUCUCUGCCUCCAGUUCCCUCGUCCCUAGCAGCCCUGCCUUCAG